Molecule: ribosomal RNA, 473 nt
Filed under: Veillonella parvula
Lineage: Bacteria; Bacillati; Bacillota; Negativicutes; Veillonellales; Veillonellaceae
Description: bacterial SSU rRNA
Rfam family: Bacterial small subunit ribosomal RNA
Source: RNAcentral
GACGAACGCUGGCGGCGUGCUUAACACAUGCAAGUCGAACGAAGAGAGAUGGAAGCUUGCUUCUAUCAAUCUUAGUGGCGAACGGGUGAGUAACGCGUAAUCAACCUGCCCUUCAGAGGGGGACAACAGUUGGAAACGACUGCUAAUACCGCAUACGAUCUAAUCUCGGCAUCGAGGAUAGAUGAAAGGUGGCCUCUACAUGUAAGCUACCACUGAAGGAGGGGAUUGCGUCUGAUUAGCUAGUUGGAGGGGUAACGGCCCACCAAGGCGGUGAUCAGUAGCCGGUCUGAGAGGAUGAACGGCCACAUUGGGACUGAGACACGGCCCAGACUCCUACGGGAGGCAGCAGUGGGGAAUCUUCCGCAAUGGACGAAAGUCUGACGGAGCAACGCCGCGUGAGUGAUGACGGCCUUCGGGUUGUAAAGCUCUGUUAAUCGGGACGAAAGGCCUUCUUGCGAAUAAGUGAGAAAGGA